This 121-nucleotide small nucleolar RNA is filed under the name Echinops telfairi (small Madagascar hedgehog). RNAcentral's name for it is "Small nucleolar RNA SNORA61 (ENSETEG00000025594.1)". The record is from RNAcentral. Lineage: Eukaryota; Metazoa; Chordata; Mammalia; Afrosoricida; Tenrecidae.
ACCCUCCCAAUUCCUUACCCCUCAACCUUAAAUACUGAUCUGAGAGGUUAAAAAGGGGGGAAAGGUAAAACUAAAGAGGGCUUGAAGUCUUUAAUGGCAUACAAGUUCAUUUCAAACAUAA